RNAcentral lists this transfer RNA (71 nucleotides) under seawater metagenome. Its description in RNAcentral is "tRNA-Gly". It matches the Rfam family "tRNA". From Rfam's summary of the family: Transfer RNA (tRNA) molecules are approximately 80 nucleotides in length. Their secondary structure includes four short double-helical elements and three loops (D, anti-codon, and T loops). The record is from RNAcentral.
GCGGGCGUAGCUUAAUAGUAGAGCUCCCGCCUUCCAAGCUGGUUACGAGGGUUCGAUUCCCUUCGCCCGCU